UAUGGCGACCGGCGCACGGGUGAGUAACGCGUAUGCAACUUACCUAUCAGGAGGGGAUAGCCCGGCGAAAGUCGGAUUAAUACCCCAUAAAACAGGGGUCCCGCAUGGGAAUAUUUGUUAAAGAUUCAUCGCUGAUAGAUAGGCAUGCGUUCCAUUAGGCAGUUGGCGGGGUAACGGCCCACCAAACCGACGAUGGAUAGGGGUUCUGAGAGGAAGGUCCCCCACAUUGGUACUGAGACACGGACCAA
RNAcentral lists this ribosomal RNA (248 nucleotides) under uncultured bacterium. RNAcentral's name for it is "partial 16S ribosomal RNA". It matches the Rfam family "Bacterial small subunit ribosomal RNA", at positions 87 to 334 of the family's 1533-position model. The record is from RNAcentral.